This is a non-coding RNA of Podarcis lilfordi (Lilford's wall lizard), 164 nucleotides long. The record is from the annotation of a GenBank genome assembly. Lineage: Eukaryota; Metazoa; Chordata; Lepidosauria; Squamata; Lacertidae.
AAGAGCCGCUGAGUGGGGAGGAGAGAGGGACAGAGAGCCUGCUUGCUUUAAAGGAGCCAACCGGACAGGAGCCGCUUACACUCGUGUAAGCGGCUCCUGUCCGGUUGGCUCCUUUAAAGCAAGCAAGCUCUCUGUCCCUCUCUUCUCCUCACUUAGCUGGCUAA